RNAcentral lists this ribosomal RNA (429 nucleotides) under Lacticaseibacillus casei. Its description in RNAcentral is "bacterial SSU rRNA". It matches the Rfam family "Bacterial small subunit ribosomal RNA", at positions 50 to 451 of the family's 1533-position model. The record is from RNAcentral. Lineage: Bacteria; Bacillati; Bacillota; Bacilli; Lactobacillales; Lactobacillaceae.
UAUACAUGCAGUCGACGAGUUCUCGUUGUAAGAUCGGAGCUUGCACCGAGAUUCAACAUGGAACGAGUGGCGGACGGGUGAGUAACACGUGGGUAACCUGCCCUUAAGUGGGGGAUAACAUUUGGAAACAGAUGCUAAUACCGCAUAAAUCCAAGAACCGCAUGGUUCUUGGCUGAAAGAUGGCGUAAGCUAUCGCUUUUGGAUGGACCCGCGGCGUAUUAGCUAGUUGGUGAGGUAAUGGCUCACCAAGGCGAUGAUACGUAGCCGAACUGAGAGGUUGAUCGGCCACAUUGGGACUGAAACACGGCCCAAACUCCUACGGGAGGCAGCAGUAGGGAAUCUUCCACAAUGGACGCAAGUCUGAUGGAGCAACGCCGCGUGAGUGAAGAAGGCUUUCGGGUCGUAAAACUCUGUUGUUGGAGAAGAAUG